GGCAGUUUAGCUUAAUGGUAAAGCACUCAGCUGGAGUCUUUGAGGGAUAUGGGUUCAUGUCCUAUGGCUGGUU
Octopus bimaculoides (California two-spot octopus) is the source of this 73-nucleotide non-coding RNA. Lineage: Eukaryota; Metazoa; Mollusca; Cephalopoda; Octopoda; Octopodidae. The record is from Rfam.